GAGAACAAAGCCCUCCGAGUAUUGUGAACCUUCAAACCCUAACCCUAGUGUAUCUUUCCGCCGCUGAGUUGGUUUCUAUAUAUAACUAUCUGAACCAUUGUCCUUUCAUAGGAGGAGUGACGGCGGCUUUGAUGGUGGUGGUGGACCAGGAGGCAAAGGGAGAGAAAGGCUGCCGGAAGCAUUUCGGUUGGGAGGCAUUAGGAAUUGAAUUUGUUUCAUUUCCAGAAAUUCCUUUCAUUUCCUAUACCUCCCAUACCGAAGGUUUUCGAAGUUUCCUCCCCUUUCCUUCUGUCCGUUUAUUCAUGUUUAUACUUGCUUCGAUCCUUGUCUUCUUCGCAUCUACCCGUUCUGAUCCUGUCUUACUUUCCAAUUUCUCUUAUUAUGUAUGGAUCUGAUUCAAUCUCGCUCAAACUUUUAAGUACUGAUUGUUUGAGGAAUAUCUUUUAAACUCAUAAAUUGAUUCUCGUGUUUUAUGGUACUCCUUGAAUUGGAUGGAC
Molecule: long non-coding RNA, 497 nt
Filed under: Olea europaea subsp. europaea
Lineage: Eukaryota; Viridiplantae; Streptophyta; Magnoliopsida; Lamiales; Oleaceae
Source: RNAcentral